GUGAAUCAUCGAAUCUUUGAACGCACAUUGCACUCUCUUCGGAGAGUAUGCGUGUUUGAGGGUGAGCCUAUAAAAAAUCGACAUUGUUGCUGUUUCGCGGUGGCGCUCGUCGGAAAUUGCGUAGUCUUAAAUCUAUGGGUUUUAAGCGACUUAUAAUUUUAUUUUUGGUUUCAUGAACGCUUCUAAGAUUUAUUUCUUUAUACGUUUAUGGUAUCGUUUUAUAUUAGAAGUGACAAUCAUAACGUAUAGCGCCUAUAAUAUUUCAUCUAACGACA
This 275-nucleotide unclassified non-coding RNA is filed under the name Glomeraceae sp. Its description in RNAcentral is "partial contains 5.8S ribosomal RNA and internal transcribed spacer 2". The stretch from base 1 to 65 matches the Rfam family "5.8S ribosomal RNA", at positions 84 to 154 of the family's 154-position model. Lineage: Eukaryota; Fungi; Glomeromycota; Glomeromycetes; Glomerales; Glomeraceae. The record is from RNAcentral.